GAUGAACGCUGGCGGUGUGCCUUAUACAUGCAUGUCGAACGAGGCGUAGCAAUACGUCUAGUGGCAAAUGGGUGAGUAAUAAAUAGGUAACCAACCCUUAAGACGGGGAUACCCCAUCGAAAGAUGGAAUAAUACCCGAUAAUGUCCCUUCCGGUGCGCUGGAGGGGAAGAAAGAUGGCGCAAGCUAUCACUUUUGGACGGGCUUAUUUCCUAUCAGCUAGUUGGUGAGGUAACGGCUUACCAAGGCUACGACGGGUAGCUGGUCUGAGAGGACGGUCAGCCACAUUGGGACUGCGACACGGCCCAGACUCCUACGGGAGGCAGCAGUCGGGAAUAUUCGGCCAAUGCGCGAAAGCGUGACCGAGCGACACCGCGUGGGCGACGAAGAUCUUAGGAUUGUAAAGCCUUUUGCCAGGGAAGAAUACGCUGGGACAAUAUCAAUAGCGUUUGACGGUACCUGGCGAAUAAGCCGCAGCAAACUACGUGCCAGCAGCCGCGGUAAAACGU
RNAcentral lists this ribosomal RNA (507 nucleotides) under uncultured bacterium. RNAcentral describes it as "bacterial SSU rRNA". It matches the Rfam family "Bacterial small subunit ribosomal RNA", at positions 28 to 528 of the family's 1533-position model. The record is from RNAcentral.